RNAcentral lists this ribosomal RNA (800 nucleotides) under Bacillus tequilensis. Its description in RNAcentral is "bacterial SSU rRNA". It matches the Rfam family "Bacterial small subunit ribosomal RNA", at positions 30 to 817 of the family's 1533-position model. Lineage: Bacteria; Bacillati; Bacillota; Bacilli; Caryophanales; Bacillaceae. The record is from RNAcentral.
CCAAUGGCGGCGUGCUAUACAUGCAAGUCGAGCGGACAGAUGGGAGCUUGCUCCCUGAUGUUAGCGGCGGACGGGUGAGUAACACGUGGGUAACCUGCCUGUAAGACUGGGAUAACUCCGGGAAACCGGGGCUAAUACCGGAUGGUUGUUUGAACCGCAUGGUUCAAACAUAAAAGGUGGCUUCGGCUACCACUUACAGAUGGACCCGCGGCGCAUUAGCUAGUUGGUGAGGUAACGGCUCACCAAGGCAACGAUGCGUAGCCGACCUGAGAGGGUGAUCGGCCACACUGGGACUGAGACACGGCCCAGACUCCUACGGGAGGCAGCAGUAGGGAAUCUUCCGCAAUGGACGAAAGUCUGACGGAGCAACGCCGCGUGAGUGAUGAAGGUUUUCGGAUCGUAAAGCUCUGUUGUUAGGGAAGAACAAGUACCGUUCGAAUAGGGCGGUACCUUGACGGUACCUAACCAGAAAGCCACGGCUAACUACGUGCCAGCAGCCGCGGUAAUACGUAGGUGGCAAGCGUUGUCCGGAAUUAUUGGGCGUAAAGGGCUCGCAGGCGGUUUCUUAAGUCUGAUGUGAAAGCCCCCGGCUCAACCGGGGAGGGUCAUUGGAAACUGGGGAACUUGAGUGCAGAAGAGGAGAGUGGAAUUCCACGUGUAGCGGUGAAAUGCGUAGAGAUGUGGAGGAACACCAGUGGCGAAGGCGACUCUCUGGUCUGUAACUGACGCUGAGGAGCGAAAGCGUGGGGAGCGAACAGGAUUAGAUACCCUGGUAGUCCACGCCGUAAACGAUGAGUGCU